This 876-nucleotide ribosomal RNA is filed under the name Salmonella enterica subsp. enterica serovar Heidelberg. RNAcentral describes it as "partial 23S ribosomal RNA". It matches the Rfam family "Bacterial large subunit ribosomal RNA", at positions 711 to 1586 of the family's 2925-position model. Lineage: Bacteria; Pseudomonadati; Pseudomonadota; Gammaproteobacteria; Enterobacterales; Enterobacteriaceae. The record is from RNAcentral.
AGACCCGAAACCCGGUGAUCUAGCCAUGGGCAGGUUGAAGGUUGGGUAACACUAACUGGAGGACCGAACCGACUAAUGUUGAAAAAUUAGCGGAUGACCUGUGGCUGGGGGUGAAAGGCCAAUCAAACCGGGAGAUAGCUGGUUCUCCCCGAAAGCUAUUUAGGUAGCGCCUCGUGAAUUCAUCUCCGGGGGUAGAGCACUGUUUCGGCUAGGGGGCCAUCCCGGCUUACCAACCCGAUGCAAACUGCGAAUACCGGAGAAUGUUAUCACGGGAGACACACGGCGGGUGCUAACGUCCGUCGUGAAGAGGGAAACAACCCAGACCGCCAGCUAAGGUCCCAAAGUCAUGGUUAAGUGGGAAACGAUGUGGGAAGGCCCAGACAGCCAGGAUGUUGGCUUAGAAGCAGCCAUCAUUUAAAGAAAGCGUAAUAGCUCACUGGUCGAGUCGGCCUGCGCGGAAGAUGUAACGGGGCUAAACCAUGCACCGAAGCUGCGGCAGCGACACUGUGUGUUGUUGGGUAGGGGAGCGUUCUGUAAGCCUGUGAAGGUGUGUCGUGAGGCAUGCUGGAGGUAUCAGAAGUGCGAAUGCUGACAUAAGUAACGAUAAAGCGGGUGAAAAGCCCGCUCGCCGGAAGACCAAGGGUUCCUGUCCAACGUUAAUCGGGGCAGGGUGAGUCGACCCCUAAGGCGAGGCCGAAAGGCGUAGUCGAUGGGAAACGGGUUAAUAUUCCCGUACUUGGUGUUACUGCGAAGGGGGGACGGAGAAGGCUAUGUUGGCCGGGCGACGGUUGUCCCGGUUUAAGCGUGUAGGUGUGUGUUCCAGGUAAAUCCGGUUCACUUUAACACUGAGGCGUGACGACGAGGCACUACGGUGCU